Molecule: ribosomal RNA, 781 nt
Filed under: uncultured Chromatiales bacterium
Lineage: Bacteria; Pseudomonadati; Pseudomonadota; Gammaproteobacteria; Chromatiales
Description: bacterial SSU rRNA
Rfam family: Bacterial small subunit ribosomal RNA
Source: RNAcentral
AGAGUUUGAUCAUGGCUCAGAUUGAACGCUGGCGGCAUGCCUAACACAUGCAAGUCGAACGGUAACAGGCCGCAAGGUGCUGACGAGUGGCGGACGGGUGAGUAAUACGUAGGUAUCUGCCCUGUAGUGGGGGAUAACCCGGGGAAACUCGGGCUAAUACCGCAUACGCUCUUUUAUCGUUGAGAUAGGAGAGGAAAGCGAGGGACCGAAAGGCCUCGCGCUAGAGGAUGAGCCUACGCCCGAUUAGCUAGUUGGUAGGGUAAAAGCCUACCAAGGCGACGAUCGGUAGCUGGUCUGAGAGGAUGGCCAGCCACACUGGGACUGAGACACGGCCCAGACUCCUACGGGAGGCAGCAGUGGGGAAUAUUGGACAAUGGGCGCAAGCCUGAUCCAGCCAUGCCGCGUGAGUGAUGAAGGCCCUAGGGUUGUAAAGCUCUUUCACCCACGACGAUAAUGACGGUAGUGGGAGAAGAAGCACCGGCUAACUCCGUGCCAGCAGCCGCGGUAAUACGGAGGGUGCGAGCGUUAAUCGGAAUUACUGGGCGUAAAGGGCGCGUAGGCGGUUGGGUAAGUCGGGUGUGAAAGCCCCGGGCUUAACCUGGGAAUGGCAUUCGAGACUACCUAUCUAGAGUCUGGUAGAGGGAAGUGGAAUUUCCGGUGUAGCGGUGAAAUGUGUAGAUAUCGGAAGGAACACCAGUGGCGAAGGCGACUUCCUGGACCAAGACUGACGCUGAGGCGCGAAAGCGUGGGGAUCAAACAGGAUUAGAUACCCCAGUAGUCC